GUCUGCUUGGAGAUAUAAGGAGUCUAGCCUGCUCUCUGAUAAUUAUUUAAGGGCCGCGGUAAUUUGACCGUGCAAAGGUAGCGUAAUAGUUAGUUUUUUAAUUGGAAUCUUGUAUGAAUGGUUGGAUAAAAGAAAUUCUGUCUCUAUAAUUUUUAUUGAAUUUAACUUUUAAGUGAAAAGGCUUAAAUAUUUUAAAAAGACGAUAAGACCCUAUAAAGCUUUAUAAUUAAGUUUAUUUAAUUAAAUUAAUAAAUAAAAUUUUAAUAGAUUAUAUUAUUUUAUUGGGGAGAUAAAAUUAUAAUUUUAGAUAACUGUUAGUGAUUAGCACAAUUUAUAGAUGAGUAAGAGUAGUAAAAGAUCCUAUAGUAGGGAUUAAAAGUUUAAGUUACUUUAGGGAUAACAGCGUUAUUUUUUUUAAGAGUUCAUAUCGAAAAAAAAGAUUGCGACCUCGAUGUUGAAUUAAAAUUUCUAAAUAAUUGCAGAAGUUAUUUUAGGGGGUCUGUUCGACCUUAAAUUUUACUAUUCAACC
RNAcentral lists this ribosomal RNA (529 nucleotides) under Pinnotheres bicristatus. Its description in RNAcentral is "partial large subunit ribosomal RNA". It matches the Rfam family "Bacterial large subunit ribosomal RNA", at positions 1831 to 2610 of the family's 2925-position model. The record is from RNAcentral. Lineage: Eukaryota; Metazoa; Arthropoda; Malacostraca; Decapoda; Pinnotheridae.